RNAcentral lists this ribosomal RNA (50 nucleotides) under Aspergillus fumigatus. RNAcentral describes it as "partial 28S ribosomal RNA". The record is from RNAcentral. Lineage: Eukaryota; Fungi; Ascomycota; Eurotiomycetes; Eurotiales; Aspergillaceae.
UUGACCUCGGAUCAGGUAGGGAUACCCGCUGAACUUAAGCAUAUCAAAAG